RNAcentral lists this ribosomal RNA (253 nucleotides) under uncultured bacterium. RNAcentral's name for it is "partial 16S ribosomal RNA". It matches the Rfam family "Bacterial small subunit ribosomal RNA", at positions 524 to 776 of the family's 1533-position model. The record is from RNAcentral.
UACGGAGGGGGCGAGCGUUAUUCGGAAUUAUUGGGCGUAAAGGGCGCGUAGGCGGCUUGAUGUGUCAAAGGUGAAAUCCCUCGGCUCAACUGAGGAACUGCCUUUGAAACUGUCUGGCUUGAGGCCGGGAGAGGGUAGCGGAAUUCCCAGUGUAGCGGUGAAAUGCGUAGAUAUCUGGAGGAACACCGGUGGCGAAGGCGGCAUCCUGGACCGACACUGACGCUGAGGAGCGAAAGCUAGGGGAGCAAACGGG